Molecule: ribosomal RNA, 253 nt
Filed under: uncultured bacterium
Lineage: Bacteria
Description: partial 16S ribosomal RNA
Rfam family: Bacterial small subunit ribosomal RNA
Source: RNAcentral
AACGUAGGUGGCAAGCGUUAUCCGGAUUUACUGGGCGUAAAGCGUGUGCAGGCGGGGGUACAAGUGGUGUAUGAAAUUUCCCAACUUAACUGGGAAGGGUUAUGCCAGACUGUACUUCUGGAGUGCGAGAGAGGGGCGUGGAAUUCCGGGUGUAGUGGUGAAAUGCGUAGAGAUCCGGAGGAACCCCAGAGGCGAAGGCGGCGCCCUGGCUCGCAACUGACGCUCAGACACGACAGCAUUGGGAGCGAACGGG